UUAAUAGUUAUUUUAAUUUUUUUGGUAAGGGUUUAUAUGUAAAAUGUUUUUUUUAUUAUUUUUAGGUGAAAUUUAAAUUGUAAUUUUAAUUUUAUUAUGAGGCCUUAAAGUUAAUUUUUAAACUAGGAUUAGAUACCCUAUUAUUAUAAUUUUUUUGUUACCUUAUUAUUAAUAGUUAAGUUCUUUAAAAUAAAAAAAUUUGGCGGUAUUCUAAUUUUAUUAGAGGAACCUGUUUUUUAAUUGAUGAUCCACGAUUAAAUUUACUUAUUUUUAGUUUUCAUAUCGUUGUAAAAAUUAAAUUUAUAGAUUAUAGUUUUUAUUCUUUAUUUAGAGAAAAUUCAGAUCAAGGUGUAGCUUAUAAAUAAGUUUAAAUGGGUUACAAUAUAAUUAUAUUGGGAUUAUAAUUUUUGUAAUUAUAUGAAUAUGGAUUUAAAAGUAAUUUUUAAUUUUUUUAAUAAUGAUUAUUUUUAAAAU
RNAcentral lists this ribosomal RNA (474 nucleotides) under Octhispa sp. Its description in RNAcentral is "partial 12S small subunit ribosomal RNA". The record is from RNAcentral. Lineage: Eukaryota; Metazoa; Arthropoda; Insecta; Coleoptera; Chrysomelidae.